RNAcentral lists this ribosomal RNA (791 nucleotides) under uncultured euryarchaeote. RNAcentral's name for it is "bacterial SSU rRNA". It matches the Rfam family "Archaeal small subunit ribosomal RNA", at positions 85 to 876 of the family's 1478-position model. The record is from RNAcentral. Lineage: Archaea; Methanobacteriati; Methanobacteriota.
ACGGCUCAGUAACACGUGGAUAACCUACCCUUAGGACUGGGAUAACCCUGGGAAACUGGGGCUAAUACUGGAUAGGUGAUUUUUCCUGCAAUGGUAUUUCAUUUAAAUGUUUUUUCGCCUAAGGAUGGGUCUGCGGCCGAUUAGAUUGUUGGUGAGGUAAUGGCUUACCAAGUCGAUUAUCGGUUCGGGUUGUGAAAGCAAGGGCCCGGAGAUGGAACCUGAGACAAGGUUCCAAACCCUACGGGGUGCAGCAGGCGCGAAACCUCCGCAAUGUGAGAAAUCACGACGGGGGGACCCCAAGUGCCAUUCUUAACGGGAUGGCUUUUCUUAAGUGUAAAAAGCUUUUGGAAUAAGAGCUGGGCAAGACCGGUGCCAGCCGCCGCGGUAACACCGGCAGCUCUAGUGGUGGCCAUUUUUAUUGGGCCUAAAGCGUUCGUAGCCGGUUUAAUAAGUCUUUGGUGAAAUCCUGUAGCUUAACUGUGGGACUUGCUGGGGAUACUAUUAGACUUGAGGUCGGGAGAGGUUAGAGGUACUCCCAGGGUAGGGGUGAAAUCCUGUAAUCCUGGGAGGACCACCUGUGGCGAAGGCGUCUAACUGGAACGAACCUGACGGUGAGGGACGAAAGCCAGGGGCGCGAACCGGAUUAGAUACCCGGGUAGUCCUGGCCGUAAACGAUGCGGACUUGGUGUUGGGAUGACUUUGAGUUGUUUCAGUGCCGAAGGGAAGCUGUUAAGUCCGCCGCCUGGGAAGUACGGUCGCAAGACUGAAACUUAAAGGAAUUGGCGGGGGAG